Non-coding RNA from Salvelinus sp. IW2-2015, 2510 nucleotides. Lineage: Eukaryota; Metazoa; Chordata; Actinopteri; Salmoniformes; Salmonidae. The record is from RefSeq and is a predicted model, not a curated record.
CUAUACUCUUUCUGUGCUCCAGACCUGUGGAAACAGACAAGGUGACCAGAGAAAGAGGUGAAAAAGGACAGACACUGGUGUUUUGGUUGAUUGAUGAGGCAGUGGAGGCGGGAUGUGGGUCCUCAUCUGGGCAGCUCUACUCUUCUCUCUGAGAGAGAGAGCAACAUGUCAAAGUAGGGUCCCUUUUAUCAUUAAAGUAUUGUCAACAUUGAAAUCAUUAGUAUUUGUACAGAUGUGGUAUUUGUAAUGGUAAGACCCAUUUUAAUCUAAACUGAUUCUGUAUCAUCACAAAUGUUACGGACAUGUGAAGUAGUAUCCAAGUGUGUCCUGUAUUACUCAUAACUAUUCAUUUCCCUCCAUUAAGACAGGCCCCCCCAGCAGCAGCUGCAAACACAUACAGCAUCACCUUCAUUCCAGAAAAAAAUAACUGUAGUGACUGUAGGUAAUGUUAUUUCAUGUACUUUCAAUCACCCUGAUAGUGUCAAGCCUACCGCAGCAAUAUGGUACAAAUGCACAAAUGCCCUACAAAUGGCAACUGUGAUAAGGAUAAACAUAUCAUUUUCCAUUCCAAAGAUCUCUCUAAAGCAAGGGGAGGGUAAAAACAGAGUGUCUCUACUGGAGACAGACCUGACAAAGAAGAACUGUAAUGUGAUCGUCAAUGAUGUCAGAGAGAAUGACACUGGAGAGUAUCAACUCAGAAUGAAAGGAGGACCAUUUACAUACCUAGAGAAAAUGAAAGUCACAGCGACAGGUACAGCAUGGCUAUUGCUGUCAGUUAUUUUGUACACUGACUGUAACAUACAGAUGCAUACCUCCAAUUCAUACAUUUCAAGAUUACCCUCCCCAAGUCUCCUUUUCCAAAGUCAGAUUUUUUUCUAAACAACGGUGGAAUUUUAUGGGCUUUAUUUGGAGAAGUUUAACAGGGUUAGCGUAGUUAGGAUUCUGUCACACUGCGUCUGAUUCUGUUUCUCUGAUGUCUGGUACACAGAUAUGAAAUUAACAUCUGAGUUUGUAUUUCCUGUGUCCAGCUCUGACCCAAGAGGCCUCUGUGUUUACUCCUGCUCUGACAGAGGGAGAACCAGCUUCUCUGACCUGCACCGCCCCGGGGAUCUGUUCUGGAACUCCUCCUAACAUCACAUGGACAUGGAGAGGGACAGGAGACAACAUCACUGAGCUCCGAGAAAACACCACCAUACAGGAGAAAGAGGAACUGACUUGCGUCACAACAACCCACUUCUCAAAUUUCACCCUUACCCCAUAAGCAUCAAGAUCACAUGUCUGGUGACCUUCAAUGGCAUCAUCGCAACCAAGAAGACACUGAAAUUGAGUGUGGCACACGCAAAGAGAGGACCCCAGACUCCAAAAGCCCUUUUAUGAACCUGGAGUUGGUGACUUGAAGACCAACAGACAGAUGCAGGACAGGCUGUGGGGGGCAAACAGACACCUCUGCAAGUGGAGCUGAGGGAGGGAGCUGGAAAUGGAGGGCCCCAGACCAGUGGAGCUGCGGGACACUGUCACAGGGGAAGAACCAAAAGAGGUGGCCUACGCCAGUAUCAACUACUCCCUACUGAAGAAGAAGACUCCUGAGCAGGCAGAGAAGAAGACCACCAACACAGAGUCAGACUACGCUGAAAUCAAACGAGAGAAGAAGAAUGAGGGGGAGGGCAGUGGCGUGCUGGAUCCGGAAGAAGAGGAGGAAGGGGAAGAGAUGAUGGGGAAGUAGCAAGGGGACGGUAAGCCAGUACAAGAGACAGAUGAGGAUGCGGUGCUUUACUCCAACGUCAAGGCUAUUAUGGGUGGAGAGUGACACAGCAAUUUGUCUAGAAAAAGUUGUGGAUAGCACACAGUACUAUGGCUUCUAUUAUACACCCAUGUGGUGUUCUCAUUUUUUGAAUCCAGAUGUAAUAUUUUAUGAGGCUGGGACUUUUGUUCAAACGUAACUGCUGUAGUUUAUAGUGUUGGUGUUGUUUGCUCAUGAGCUGAUUGCAGUUUGAAUGUUUUAUGAUGAUACAGAGACUUUGUUAAACGGAAACUACUGUAGGUAAUAGUUUUGGUAAUGCUUUAUUUUCCAGCCCUUUGUCACCCGAUACCUAGUGGUUGUAAUGUUUAAUACGAUUUGUUGCUGGUUGCACAUAGAAACAAGUAUUUUUAUGUUUGUCUCGUAAAUGUUUAUGGAAGUUAAUGUAAUAUUACUUUUGAAGUUAUUCUGUUUUUGUGUCAUCAUGGGGAAAGACUGACAAAGACGUGGUUUGGAGAAGAGCAGUCAAACCAUUUCUCGUUUUUCUCCUCUGUCCUUUCAUGUUUUUGCAUUUUGAUUUAAACCUAAACCUAUAUAUUGAGUCACUACCUUACUUUUGAUUGUUGUGUGUAUUUUAGUUGUUUGUUACCUAAAAUUUGUUCAAAGAAUUUAUAAAUUAUGUUUAAAAUAAAAUAUGUUUUAACUGUCUUGUAGCAUGAUAUACUACAGUAGCCAUACUGCUCUGUAUCAAAAUAUGGUUUUAUCUUGGUAA